RNAcentral lists this ribosomal RNA (1393 nucleotides) under uncultured prokaryote. RNAcentral's name for it is "partial 16S ribosomal RNA". It matches the Rfam family "Bacterial small subunit ribosomal RNA". The record is from RNAcentral.
AGGCUUAACACAUGCAAGUCGAGGGGUAACAGUCCCGCUUCGGCGGGAGCUGACGACCGGCGCACGGGUGAGUAACGCGUAUGCAACUUUCCUGUAACUGGAGGAUAGCCCCUGGAAACGGGGAUUAAUACUGCGUAAUACCUAAAUACCGCAUGGUAUUAAGGUCAAAGCUUCGGCGGUUAAAGAUGGGCAUGCGUGGCAUUAGAUAGUUGGUAGGGUAACGGCCUACCAAGUCAGCGAUGCCUAGGGGGUCUGAGAGGAUGGUCCCCCACACUGGUACUGAGACACGGACCAGACUCCUACGGGAGGCAGCAGUGAGGAAUAUUGGGCAAUGGACGCAAGUCUGACCCAGCCAUGCCGCGUGCAGGAUGACGGCCCUAUGGGUUGUAAACUGCUUUUUUACGGGAAGAAUAGGCACUACGUGUAGUGAUUUGACGGUACCGUACGAAUAAGCACCGGCUAACUCCGUGCCAGCAGCCGCGGUAAUACGGAGGGUGCAGGCGUUAUCCGGAUUUAUUGGGUUUAAAGGGUCCGCAGGCGGAUCUGUAAGUCAGUGGUGAAAGCCUUCAGCUCAACUGUAGAACUGCCAUUGAGACUUAAGGCCUUGAGUAUAGUUGAGGUAGGCGGAAUGUGUAAUGUAGCGGUGAAAUGCUUAGAUAUUACACAGAACACCGAUUGCGUAGGCAGCUUACUAAGCUAUAACUGACGCUGAUGCACGAAAGCGUGGGGAGCGAACAGGAUUAGAUACCCUGGUAGUCCACGCCGUAAACGAUGAUCACUCGUUGUUGGCAAUACACCGUCAGCGACUGAGCGAAAGCAUUAAGUGAUCCACCUGGGGAGUACGGUCGCAAGAUUGAAACUCAAAGGAAUUGACGGGGGCCCGCACAAGCGGAGGAACAUGUGGUUUAAUUGGAUGAUACGCGACGAAACUUACCUGGGCUUAAAUGUAGAGUGACGGAUCGGGAAACUGAUCUUUCUUCGGACGCUUUGCAAGGUGCUGCAUGGCUGUCGUCAGCUCGUGCCGUGAGGUGUCGGGUUAAGUCCCAUAACGAGCGCAACCCUCAUCAUUAGUUGCCAGCGAGUAAUGUCGGGGACUCUAAUGAAACUGCCGGUGUAAACCGUGAGGAAGGUGGGGAUGACGUCAAGUCAGCACGGCCCUUAUGUCCAGGGCUACACACGUGUUACAAUGGUCGAUACAAAGGGCAGCUACCUGGUGACAGGAUGCUAAUCUCCAAAAUCGAUCUCAGUUCGGAUCGAAGUCUGCAACUCGACUUCGUGAAGCUGGAUUCGCUAGUAAUCGCGCAUCAGCCACGGCGCGGUGAAUACGUUCCCGGGCCUUGUACCACCGCCCGUCAAGCCAUGGAAGCUUGGGGUACCUGAAGGCCGUAACCGC